ACAUGCAGUCGAGCGGUAGAGAGAAGCUUGCUUCUCUUGAAAGCGGCGGACGGGUGAGUAAUGCCUAGGAAUCUGCCUGGUAGUGGGGGAUAACGCUCGGAAACGGACGCUAAUACCGCAUACGUCCUACGGGAGAAAGCAGGGGACCUUCCGGCCUUGCGCUAUCAGAUGAGCCUAGGUCGGAUUAGCUAGUUGGUGAGGUAAUGGCUCACCAAGGCGACGAUCCGUAACUGGUCUGAGAGGAUGAUCAGUCACACUGGAACUGAGACACGGUCCAGACUCCUACGGGAGGCAGCAGUGGGGAAUAUUGGACAAUGGGCGAAAGCCUGAUCCAGCCAUGCCGCGUGUGUGAAGAAGGUCUUCGGAUUGUAAAGCACUUUAAGUUGGGAGGAAGGGCAGUAACCUAAUACGUUAUUGUUUUGACGUUACCGACAGAAUAAGCACCGGCUAACUCUGUGCCAGCAGCCGCGGUAAUACAGAGGGUGCAAGCGUUAAUCGGAAUUACUGGGCGUAAAGCGCGCGUAGGUGGUUUGUUAAGUUGAAUGUGAAAUCCCCGGGCUCAACCUGGGAACUGCAUCCAAAACUGGCAAGCUAGAGUAGGGCAGAGGGUGGUGGAAUUUCCUGUGUAGCGGUGAAAUGCGUAGAUAUAGGAAGGAACACCAGUGGCGAAGGCGACCACCUGGGCUCAUACUGACACUGAGGUGCGAAAGCGUGGGGAGCAAACAGGAUUAGAUACCCUGGUAGUCCACGCCGUAAACGAUGUCAACUAGCCGUUGGAAUCCUUGAGAUUUUAGUGGCGCAGCUAACGCAUUAAGUUGACCGCCUGGGGAGUACGGCCGCAAGGUUAAAACUCAAAUGAAUUGACGGGGGCCCGCUCAAGCGGUGGAGCAUGUGGCUUAAUGGGAC
Molecule: ribosomal RNA, 906 nt
Filed under: bacterium enrichment culture clone SaH11
Lineage: Bacteria
Description: bacterial SSU rRNA
Rfam family: Bacterial small subunit ribosomal RNA
Source: RNAcentral